Molecule: ribosomal RNA, 375 nt
Filed under: uncultured organism
Description: partial 16S ribosomal RNA
Rfam family: Bacterial small subunit ribosomal RNA
Source: RNAcentral
GUAGGUGGCAAGCGUUGUCCGGAAUUAUUGGGCGUAAAGCGCGCGCAGGGCGGUCCUUUAAGUCUGAUGUGAAAGCCCACGGCUCAACCGUGGAGGGUCAUUGGAAACUGGGGGACUUGAGUACAGAAGAGGAAAGCGGAAUUCCAAGUGUAGCGGUGAAAUGCGUAGAGAUUUGGAGGAACACCAGUGGCGAAGGCGGCUUUCUGGUCUGUAACUGACGCUGAGGCGCGAAAGCGUGGGGAGCAAACAGGAUUAGAUACCCUGGUAGUCCACGCCGUAAACGAUGAGUGCUAAGUGUUAGGGGGGUUUCCGCCCCCUUAGUGCUGCAGCUAACGCAUUAAGCACUCCGCCUGGGGAGUACGGCCGCAAAGGCUG